ACACAUGCAAGUCGAACGGAGCUUAGAGAGCUUGCUUUUUAAGCUUAGUGGCGAACGGGUGAGUAACGCGUGAGUAACCUGCCCUAGAGUGGGGGACAACAGUUGGAAACGACUGCUAAUACCGCAUAAGCCCACGGUGCCGCAUGGUACUGAGGGAAAAGGAUUUAUUCGCUUUAGGAUGGACUCGCGUCCAAUUAGCUAGUUGGUGAGGUAACGGCCCACCAAGGCGACGAUUGGUAGCCGGACUGAGAGGUUGAACGGCCACAUUGGGACUGAGACACGGCCCAGACUCCUACGGGAGGCAGCAGUGGGGGAUAUUGCACAAUGGGGGAAACCCUGAUGCAGCGACGCCGCGUGGAGGAAGAAGGUUUUCGGAUUGUAAACUCCUGUCGUUAGGGACGAUAAUGACGGUACCUAACAAGAAAGCACCGGCUAACUACGUGCCAGCAGCCGCGGUAAAACGUAGGGUGCAAGCGUUGUCCGGAAUUACUGGGUGUAAAGGGAGCGCAGGCGGGAAGACAAGUUGGAAGUGAAAACCAUGGGCUCAACCCAUGAAUUGCUUUCAAAACUGUUUUUCUUGAGUAGUGCAGAGGUAGAUGGAAUUCCCGGUGUAGCGGUGGAAUGCGUAGAUAUCGGGAGGAACACCAGUGGCGAAGGCGGUCUACUGGGCACCAACUGACGCUGAGGCUCGAAAGCAUGGGUAGCAAACAGGAUUAGAUACCCUGGUAGUCCAUGCCGUAAACGAUGAUUACUAGGUGUUGGGGGAUUGACCCCCUCAGUGCCGCAGUUAACACAAUAAGUAAUCCACCUGGGG
This 814-nucleotide ribosomal RNA is filed under the name uncultured bacterium. RNAcentral describes it as "bacterial SSU rRNA". It matches the Rfam family "Bacterial small subunit ribosomal RNA", at positions 51 to 878 of the family's 1533-position model. The record is from RNAcentral.